Molecule: long non-coding RNA, 1239 nt
Organism: Oncorhynchus mykiss (rainbow trout)
Lineage: Eukaryota; Metazoa; Chordata; Actinopteri; Salmoniformes; Salmonidae
Source: Ensembl
GCUGAGGACCUCUGGGCUGCAGCACGCUAUGUCGAACGGGUGUCCACGCUAAGUUCGGUAUCGAUAUGGUGUUCCUGGGGGAGCCUGGGACCACCAGGUUGUCUAAGGAGGGGUGAAACGAAGCAGGUCAAAUCCCCCGUGCUGUCCAGUAGUGGGAUAAUACCUGUGAGUAGAUGCUGCAGUGCAGCCUUGGCAAAACAUCGAGACCUAAUCUUUUCAUUUAAAAAAAACGUAUUUUUAUCUGCUACACAAAUUGUCACUUCGAAAUGUUUAUCAGACCAUGAAAAGUCGACACUUUUUUUCAGCUUUCCAAAAACAAUUACCGUUAUACCUUCUGAUAAUCGAGAAUUAUACUGACUACUACUGACGAGAUGUGUGGAUACCGGCAACAAAAUGCAGCACGGACCGUUGAGGGAGGAGUAGGUGCUAGCGCGAUGCUUAGCAUGAAACUGAGGCCAGCUCUCCCAUCACCAUCGACAGACAGACAGUUCGGAUAGGUUCAUUUACCUGUGUGAAAUGAGCCACAAUAAUGAUUAGCCAAAUCAUUGGAAUUUGAGAUUCACCUUCAAAUUAAGUCCCUUAUUGAAGGUGAUGCAAACGAAUACAAAAAGUGGAAUCAUGUCAUAUGUUUGUACUAGAUUGAGUUAUACAAGGUUGGAAUGUUGUUACAUAAUUUAAAAUACUAUAAGUAAUAUAUUUGACAAUAAUCAGAAAACAAUUGAAAUCACACUGUGGAUAUUUUAGACUGCAUAAUUGCUUUGGGCAAGAGCUCUCAAACUAGGCAAAUGACAUUCUCCAUCACUAAAGGCAUUUGAUAUGCAUAUCUAUUGAUUUGGUGUUUUGCCUAUUUGUUGUGUACAACUUUUGAUGAUACACCUUUGAUGAUAUAUUUAGGCAGAUUAUAUAUUUUUACCUGUUUUUGCAUGACAUCACAUUUCAUGUGUGUUUCUGCAUAUGUACCAAUAUCUUCAAAUCAACCUUAACCUACCAAGGGCCCAACUGGACAUCCAAUGACAGUGUACGCACUAGCUUUAUAGAAGCAGCACUUCUUAGUUUUUCCCAUGCAAAGGCCUUUAGCCUACAACCGUCCUUCGUAAUUACGUCACAGACUCCUACCUCUAUCACCUUUACCUGCAGCUGAAUAUCUCACCGGGUGCGGUGGCAUGUGCCUGUAAUCCAAGUCACUGGGAGGCUGAGGUUGGUGGAUCAAGUGAGCUGAGGAGCUCUGGGCUGCAGCAC